Molecule: ribosomal RNA, 347 nt
Filed under: uncultured eukaryote
Lineage: Eukaryota
Description: SSU rRNA
Rfam family: Eukaryotic small subunit ribosomal RNA
Source: RNAcentral
AUAGCGUAUAUUAAAGUUGUUGCAGUUAAAAAGCUCGUAGUUGAAUUUUGGACCUGGCUGGGUGGUCUUGCCGCAAGGUUAGCACUGCUCUGGUCGGGUCUUUCCUUCUGGGGAACCUGAGUGCUCUUAAUUGGGUGCGCAGGGGAUCCAGGACUUUUACUUUGAAAAAAUUAGAGUGUUUAAAGCAGGCUUACGCUUGAAUACAUUAGCAUGGAAUAAUAGAAUAGGACUUUGGUUCUAUUUUGUUGGUUUCUAGGACCGAAGUAAUGAUUAAUAGGGAUAGUUGGGGGCAUUAGUAUUUUAUUGUCAGAGGUGAAAUUCUUGGAUUUAUGAAAGACUAACUUCUG